GAGGCCAGUAUUGGAUCAUGUUGUAAA
RNAcentral lists this small RNA (27 nucleotides) under Bombyx mori (domestic silkworm). RNAcentral describes it as "ovarian small RNA-5164". The record is from RNAcentral. Lineage: Eukaryota; Metazoa; Arthropoda; Insecta; Lepidoptera; Bombycidae.